AUGGUGAAAACAUUUAAUGGGGAACAUACUUGUGAGAAAAAGUGGCAAGUUACAGCCUUUACAGCUAGGUACAUUGCUCACAAAUAUGUGGACAAAAUCAGGGCAUGUGAGAAAUUGUCGUUGAAGGCUUUUGCAGCUUUUGUGCAAGAUGAUUGGAACAUGACAAUUAAAAGGGGCAAGCUGGGGAGAGCUAGGAAGAUUGCAUAUGAUAUCAUAUAUGGAGAUGAGAUUGCACAAUACAACUUGCUGUGGGACUAUGCAAAUGAGCUGAGGACAUCAAACCCUGGAAGUACUUUCCUUCUUGGACUUUCAGAAGAGUGA
RNAcentral lists this ribosomal RNA (321 nucleotides) under Triticum aestivum (bread wheat). RNAcentral describes it as "partial small subunit ribosomal RNA". The record is from RNAcentral. Lineage: Eukaryota; Viridiplantae; Streptophyta; Magnoliopsida; Poales; Poaceae.